Molecule: long non-coding RNA, 1167 nt
Organism: Eriocheir sinensis (Chinese mitten crab)
Lineage: Eukaryota; Metazoa; Arthropoda; Malacostraca; Decapoda; Varunidae
Exons: 3
Source: RefSeq, a predicted model, not a curated record
UAUAAGCCCGCUCGGGCGCCACGGCCUUCACUCCAGAGCUCAGCAGUGGAAGUAGAGUUGGCUCUUCUCGUCCUCGUCGUCGUCGUCUUAGUGCUAGGGAGGGGUGUUAGGUUUCAGCUAACAAAAUUUCCUCUCCAAAUUUGCAUCGUCAGGGGACAGAACGCCUUCAAGAUGGGGUUUCCGCAACUCAGUCCGGAUCUCAGGUCACAUUGGCAAGCGAUGGAAGGGUCUUACCAAAGAAAACAUCUAGGGCAGAGGUUAGGUUGUCGUAGGGAGGGUCGCAAACGUGGAGCCGUAACCGCCGGCACCAUCUCAAAUGUACGUGGCUCCAACCGAUACAGCCAUUCCCAGCAACGCCUUUUUGCCACCACAAGAACAGGCAAGGUGACUCCUCCACGCACCGGGUGUGACCACUUCGAGUUCCGGACCAGCGGAAACACAUCCUGUUGGACGAUGACGCAGCAUGUCCAGAUGUAAGGACUCCGAGGACCGUGACCCGCCAUCAGAGAUCCAAGAUGUGACAUUGGGUAAGCAGGUCUUUGGGAUACGGAACCUUAUAACUGAACCUGCAUGAUGAGUCUCUCCGGGAUAAGUGACAGAACAAGGGCCUCGUAUAUCUGACCCCAAGGCCAAACCCGCACAAGAUAUCCACACUGAGACGAUGGAUAGCAGGUUCUGGACCAAGAGACGAGUAUACUUGACCCCUAGAGUGCCAAAGAGAUGCCACAGCCCUCAGGUCUCGGUGGAUCAGUGUGAGCCAAACGGACGAGCUCUCAUGGGUCCAAACAGUUGUCAUAAUGUGAAUUUGGCACGGGCCCUGACAGUGCGGCCGCGGUUCGCGCUGGGAAACGGAGCACGAGGUGACUAGUGGCCACCGCCUGCAAAGCACGCGUUGAUCUGGUGCUCGAAGGGUCACACCUGAUACUCUCCACAAGUGCUUGGGAGUAAAAGAAGGGAUGAAGAAUUGGGCAAUAAUCGUCUCAAAAGUCCAAAUAGAAAUGUUUCUUAAUUGAUUAGUUCCAUCCCAAAGUGAACUAUUACUGGCUAAAUCCAAUGUCUGAUUAUCAAGCUACAAAAGCUCCAUUUGGAUCAACAAGAUGGUGCCGCCACCUAUCGGAAUAUAACUAUACGCAAGUUUAUCGAUGUCAAUAAAAGAUAAAAACCCAC